GGACCCUACUGGUUCUUCUUCAGGGAAAGAAAUACAGAUUCAACAUUUAGAUGUGCUACUGCAGCUUUUCUUUUGCUAACUCUGAAUCUGUAUUUCUUUGAAGAAGAACCUGUAGGGUCC
Podarcis lilfordi (Lilford's wall lizard) is the source of this 120-nucleotide non-coding RNA. NCBI's taxonomy places the organism in Eukaryota, Metazoa, Chordata, Lepidosauria, Squamata, Lacertidae. The record is from the annotation of a GenBank genome assembly.